UGAAGAAUACAGUGCCCCUUUCAGUUCUGGUACAGUAUACUCGAAUCCUAUGCCAACCUGAAGAAAGCAAAAGAGUCCCUGCUUGGGCCUCCAUACUAGACUGUUUUUUGAGUUUAACGUUUUCUAUUAUUAACUGGACUGAUUCAAGUACACUGUAGAAAUUCUUAACAGAAAAAAAAAUGCUAGUGAACUCUAAUUACUACUACCUGGACUAACUUGUUUUUAACUAAAUUCAUGAAUUUGAGAGAUGUAUUUGAGAGAGAACAUGAAGUUGGGUAGAGAGGAAGGCAGAAAGGACCUGAGAGGAGAAAGAAUAUGGGCAAGAUACAUAAAAUUCUUCAAGUUAAGAAAUACGUAUAGAAAAUUUGUGAGACAUAAAAAUGGAAUCACCUAAUGUUUACAUUCUAUACACACACAGUUUUCUAAGACACAUUUAAAUGUACAUUAAAUUCAACCGCACUGCAAUUAGUCAUGUGGCACGGCAGGAGAGCUCUCACACAGAAGAAAUUCCUUUGGGUUGAUUGACAGGCUCACUCUUUCACAACGAAUCAUUUUCGACAAUACCUUUGGUUCUCAUUUUUAAACUUGGAGAAAAUCUGAGAAAAUCUGAGAAAAUGUUUCGUCAUUAAAGAUAAUUAAAAUUAAAGAUUUAUAAUUAAAUAUUAGAAUUCGUUCUUUUGGUAGGU
This 686-nucleotide long non-coding RNA is filed under the name Androctonus crassicauda. The record is from RNAcentral. Lineage: Eukaryota; Metazoa; Arthropoda; Arachnida; Scorpiones; Buthidae.